RNAcentral lists this ribosomal RNA (611 nucleotides) under uncultured fungus. RNAcentral describes it as "eukaryotic LSU rRNA". It matches the Rfam family "Eukaryotic large subunit ribosomal RNA", at positions 24 to 664 of the family's 3401-position model. Lineage: Eukaryota; Fungi. The record is from RNAcentral.
CCCGCUGAACUUAAGCAUAUCAAUAAGCGGAGGAAAAGAAACCAACAGGGAUUGCCCUAGUAACGGCGAGUGAAGCGGCAACAGCUCAAAUUUGAAAUCUGGCGCAAGCCCGAGUUGUAAUUUGUAGAGGAUGUUUCUGGCGACGUGCCUUCCGAGUUCCCUGGAACGGGACGCCAUAGAGGGUGAGAGCCCCGUACGGUUGGAUGCCUAGCCUUUGUGAAACUCCUUCGACGAGUCGAGUAGUUUGGGAAUGCUGCUCUAAAUGGGAGGUAUACGUCUUCUAAAGCUAAAUACCGGCCAGAGACCGAUAGCGCACAAGUAGAGUGAUCGAAAGAUGAAAAGCACUUUGAAAAGAGGGUUAAAUAGUACGUGAAAUUGUUGAAAGGGAAGCGUUUAUGACCAGACUUGGGUAGGUUGAUCAUCCGUGGUUCUCCGCGGUGCACUCUGCCUGCCCAGGCCAGCAUCAGUUCAGUUCGGGGGAGAAAGGCUUCGGGAAUGUAGCUCCCUCGGGAGUGUUAUAGACCGUUGCGUAAUACCCUGAUCUGGACUGAGGUUCGCGCAUUGCAAGGAUGCUGGCGUAAUGGUCAUCAGCGACCCGUCUUGAAACACGG